AGUCUGUGGAUGAGAGCCCCCAGUGUUUCUUUGCUUGGGUAGCCCAAUGAGGACGCAUCAAGCACCAGACUAAGAAGCCUGCCAAGCUCCAAUCAUGGCGCCAGCUGUCUCCUGCUGAGGUAGAAGAUGAAGACCUGUUGGUUUAAGAGGAGAAACAAAGCAAUGGUGUUCUUUCUCGAGUAGUAAAGGAAACCAGCCGUUCCAGCCCCGACAUAGAUUUGUUCCGUGUCAUUGCUGUCCUGACACCCGUUUUUAGGCCUGGCACAGUUACCUGAAAUCCAGUCGUAUCUGUCACCUUCGGCCUGGUUAAAACGUCCUCUCCCUGGUGGUGGUUUGGGUUGGAGUCCAUUUGUUUCUCAUCCCACAAACUCAAACCCAGCACAGCUGCUGACCGUGAUGAAUCUACCAGCCCAAACCAGAGCUUGGUAAGUGACAGCCCGGCUUCUCAGGUGUUUCCUUUCAGGCAGCCACGCCUCCACCCCUGGUGACAGCGAAUGGAGUGACGCCCCUGGACCUCCGUAAAGGCGUGGCCCCACACACCCUUCCCCGCACUCUGCACCGCCUCGCUGGCCUGUGUCGUCUCCCGGCAGCCUCUCUGGAACAGGAAGUCUCAGCCCACACAGACCUUCUUCCACGGCUGGUUCCCCAUGCAGCCCUGACCUUGAAACUCCUUCAUUCAACAAAUGACUUCAUUUUAGACUUUUCGAUUGCGCCAACAGAGGAGAAGCAUGGCGGCCUGAGCGGGGAUGACCCAGGCUGAAGAGAACAAGUCUUCGGUUCAGUACAGGAGACUUCUCCUCCCAG
This is a non-coding RNA of Oryctolagus cuniculus (rabbit), 804 nucleotides long. The record is from RefSeq and is a predicted model, not a curated record. Lineage: Eukaryota; Metazoa; Chordata; Mammalia; Lagomorpha; Leporidae.